This 746-nucleotide ribosomal RNA is filed under the name uncultured Alphaproteobacteria bacterium. Its description in RNAcentral is "bacterial SSU rRNA". It matches the Rfam family "Bacterial small subunit ribosomal RNA", at positions 8 to 799 of the family's 1533-position model. Lineage: Bacteria; Pseudomonadati; Pseudomonadota; Alphaproteobacteria. The record is from RNAcentral.
AGAGUUUGAUCCUGGCUCAGAACGUACGCUGGCGGCACGCCUUAUACAUGCAAGUCGAACGAAGUAGCAAUACUUAGUGGCAGACGGGUGAGUAACAUGUGGGUAUCUUCCCUUUGGUGAGGAAUAACACGAGGAAACUUGUGCUAAUACCUCAUAAGUCUUUACGGAGAAAGCUUUACGCGCCAAUGGAUGAGCCCGCACUUGAUUAGUUUGUUGGUGGGGUAAUGGCCUACCAAGACUGUGAUCAAUAGCUGAUUUGAGAGGAUGAUCAGCCACAUUGGGACUGAGACACGGCCCAAACUCCUACGAGAGGCAGCAGUAGGGAAUCUUGCACAAUGGAGGAAACUCUGAUGCAGCGAUGCCGCGUGAGUGGAGAAGGCCUUUGGGUUGUAAAGCUCUUUCGUCGGGGAAGAAAAUGACUGUACCCGAAUAAGAAGGUCCGGCUAACUUCGUGCCAGCAGCCGCGGUAAUACGAAGGGACCUAGCGUAGUUCGGAAUUACUGAGCUUAAAGAGUUCGUAGGUGGUUAAAAAAGUUGGUGGUGAAAUCCCAGAGCUUAACUCUGGAACUGCCAUCAAAACUUUUUAGCUAGAGUAUGAUAGAGGAAAGUAGAAUUUCUAGUGUAGAGGUGAAAUUCGUAGAUAUUAGAAAGAAUACCAAUUGCGAAGGCAGCUUUCUGGAUCAUUACUGACACUGAGGAACGAAAGCAUGGGUAGCGAAGAGGAUUAGAUACCCUCGUAGUCCAUG